GAUGAACGCUGGCGGCGUGCUUAACACAUGCAAGUCGAACGGUGAAGCCAAGCUUGCUUGGUGGAUCAGUGGCGAACGGGUGAGGAACACGUGAGCAACCUGCCCUGGACUCUGGGAUAAGCGCUGGAAACGGCGACUAAUACCGGAUAUGAGCCUCUUCCGCAUGGUGGGGGGUGGAAAGAUUUUUUGGUCUGGGAUGGGGUCGGGGCCGAUCAGCUUGUUGGUGAGGUAUUGGCUCACCAAGGCGUCGACGGGUAGCCGGCCUGAGAGGGGGACCGGCCACACAGGGACUGAGCCACGGCCCACACUCGUGCGGGAGGCAGCAGUGGGGAAUGUUGCAUGAAGGGCGAAAGCCUGAUGCAGCAACGCCGCGUGAGGGAUGACGGCCUUCGGGUUGGAAGCCUCUUUUCGCAGGGAGGAAGCGAAAGUAACGUUACCGGAAAAAAAGGCCCCGGCAAAUUACGG
Molecule: ribosomal RNA, 465 nt
Filed under: uncultured bacterium
Lineage: Bacteria
Description: partial 16S ribosomal RNA
Rfam family: Bacterial small subunit ribosomal RNA
Source: RNAcentral